CAGUAGCGUAUAUUAAAGUUGUUGCAGUUAAAAUGCUCGUAGUUGAAGUUCGGAUGCAGCAGAGCCUGGAAACGCUGUUAUGGUGCUUCCGUUGCUUUUGCUUGUCCACAGUGCGUUGCAAGUACGUAUGUGCUUGUGCGUGCAUUUUACUUUGAGAAACAUAGGGUGUUCCACGCAUGUUACGGCAUGAAUAUUCCAGCAUGGGAUAAUCUGGUACGACUUCCAAUCUGCCAUUUUGGUUCGUAGGUUGGAAGUAAUGAUUAAUAGGGACUGUCGGGGGCAUUGGUAUUUGACUGUCAGAGGUGAAAUUCUUAGAUUCGUUGAGGACCAACCACUGCGAAAGCAUUUGUCAAGGAUGUCUCCAUUAA
This 368-nucleotide ribosomal RNA is filed under the name uncultured eukaryote. RNAcentral's name for it is "partial 18S ribosomal RNA". It matches the Rfam family "Eukaryotic small subunit ribosomal RNA", at positions 592 to 976 of the family's 1831-position model. The record is from RNAcentral.